AGGACGAACGCUGGCGGUGUGCCUCAUACAUGCAAGUCGAACGAGAAAUACUUCGGGUAAUGGAAAGUGGCGGACGGGUGAGUAAUAUGUAGGAAAUCUGCCCUAGAGAGGGGGACAACAGAGGGAAACUUCUGCUAAUACCCCAUAUGAGCUUAGUUGAAAUACUAAUCUUGAAAACUCCGGUGCUCUAGGAUGAGCCUGCAUCUGAUUAGCUAGUUGGUGGUGUAAUGGACCACAAAGGCGACGAUCAGUAGCUGGUUUGAGAGGAUGAUCAGCCACAAUGGGACUGAGACACGGCCCAUACUCCUACGGGAGGCAGCAGUAGGGAAUUUUGCGCAAUGGGGGAAACCCUGAACCGCAGCAACACCGCGUGAAUGUUAAGCCCUUCGGGGUAUAAAGUUCUGUCAAUGGGGAAGAAUAAAUGACUGUACCCAUAAAGGAAGCACCGGCUAACUCCGUGCCAGCAGCCGC
RNAcentral lists this ribosomal RNA (471 nucleotides) under uncultured bacterium. RNAcentral describes it as "bacterial SSU rRNA". It matches the Rfam family "Bacterial small subunit ribosomal RNA", at positions 26 to 518 of the family's 1533-position model. The record is from RNAcentral.